AUGGCGGCGUCGGCGCCGACGGGCUGCUUCAAGUGCGGCCGCCCCGGCCACUGGUCCCGGGACUGCCCCUCCGCCCCGCCGUCCUCCUCCACCAACCCCAACCCCAACCCCAACCCCGCCGCCGGCGCCGGCGCCGCCCGCUUCGCCCCCUACAAGCCGAGACAGUUCUCCAAACCCGCGGCGGCUGCGGCUGCGGCUCCGGCUGAGGGCGAGGAGGCACCGCAGGAUGGUGCUAAGAAGAAGAAGAAGGAGAGGACGACGCGGCCCAAGCUCACACCGGACCUCCUCCUCUCCGACGACGGCCUGGGCUUCGUCCUCCGCUACUUCCCCAAGGCGUUCAAGCCCCGCGCCCGGCCCGGAUCCGAGGUGGAAGACCUUGGCAAUCUGAUCAAGCUUUACGCGGACUGGCACUCUCGCUUGAUCCCUUACUACUCCUUCGAUCAGUUUGUGCGCAAAGCUGAGAAAGUUGGGGCCAGUAGCCGCGUUAGGAGAUGCAUUUCGGAAUUGAAGGAAAGGGUUGCCAGAGGGGGGGAUCCUACACUACUGCAUCAACCGCCAGUGGAAGAAGUCAUACCAGAGGGAGAACCUGAUGGAACCACACAAGAAGACCCAAUCCUGGGGACAGAAUCUCCGUCGACGGACAAUCAUGAGGAUGUGGACCCAUUUGCGAUGGAAAGUGAUGACGUGGAUCCCAUGCAAGAGGAUUUGCGAAAUGAAAUAUACGAAAAGACAGCCGAUGAACCUGUAAUAAGAUCUGGCAUUGAAAGCGCUGAACAACCCAUGGCUCCAAAAGAGGCAGAGAAGCAUCAAGAUGGAGAGGAGAGUGGCGGGAGCAAGCCAAGCAAAGUUGAGCUGACGGAGGAGCAGAAGGCGCGCAUGGAGGCUAACAGGCUCAAGGCGCUGGAGAGAGCGGCAGCAGCUCGGGCUCGCGCAUCCCAGUCGCAGCCUACUACUGAAACCACUACCUAA
RNAcentral lists this ribosomal RNA (969 nucleotides) under Triticum aestivum (bread wheat). Its description in RNAcentral is "partial small subunit ribosomal RNA". Lineage: Eukaryota; Viridiplantae; Streptophyta; Magnoliopsida; Poales; Poaceae. The record is from RNAcentral.